RNAcentral lists this ribosomal RNA (710 nucleotides) under uncultured bacterium. RNAcentral describes it as "bacterial SSU rRNA". It matches the Rfam family "Bacterial small subunit ribosomal RNA", at positions 105 to 811 of the family's 1533-position model. The record is from RNAcentral.
GGUGAGUAACGCGUAUGCGACCUGCCCGUCACAGGGGGAUAAUCCGGAGAAAUCCGGUCUAAUACCGCAUAAUAUCGUGAAGCUGCAUGGUUUUGCGAUUAAAGGAGCGAUCCGGUGACGGAUGGGCAUGCGUGACAUUAGCUAGUCGGCGGGGUAACGGCCCACCGAGGCGACGAUGUCUAGGGGUUCUGAGAGGAAGGUCCCCCACACUGGUACUGAGACACGGACCAGACUCCUACGGGAGGCAGCAGUGAGGAAUAUUGGUCAAUGGGCGAGAGCCUGAACCAGCCAAGUCGCGUGAAGGAUGACGGCCCUACGGGUUGUAAACUUCUUUUGUCAGGGAGCAAUUGGGUCCACGCGUGGGCUUAGCGAGAGUACCUGAAGAAAAAGCAUCGGCUAACUCCGUGCCAGCAGCCGCGGUAAUACGGAGGAUGCGAGCGUUAUCCGGAUUUAUUGGGUUUAAAGGGUGCGUAGGCGGAAUAUCAAGUCAGCGGUAAAAAUUCGGGGCUCAACCCCGUCGUGCCGUUGAAACUGAUGUUCUUGAGUGGGCGAGAAGUAUGCGGAAUGCGUGGUGUAGCGGUGAAAUGCAUAGAUAUCACGCAGAACUCCGAUUGCGAAGGCAGCAUACCGGCGCCCAACUGACGCUGAAGCACGAAAGCGUGGGUAUCGAACAGGAUUAGAUACCCUGGUAGUCCACGCAGUAAACGAUG